RNAcentral lists this ribosomal RNA (253 nucleotides) under uncultured bacterium. Its description in RNAcentral is "partial 16S ribosomal RNA". It matches the Rfam family "Bacterial small subunit ribosomal RNA", at positions 524 to 776 of the family's 1533-position model. The record is from RNAcentral.
UACGUAGGGUGCGAGCGUUGUCCGGAAUUAUUGGGCGUAAAGAGCGUGUAGGCGGUUAGGUAGGUCCGUUGUGAAAACUCGAGGCUCAACCUCGAGACGCCGAUGGAAACCAUCUGGCUAGAGUCCGGAAGAGGAGAGUGGAAUUCCUGGUGUAGCGGUGAAAUGCGCAGAUAUCAGGAAGAACACCUAUGGCGAAGGCAGCUCUCUGGGACGGUACUGACGCUGAGACGCGAAAGCGUGGGGAGCGAACAGG